GAUGAAGAACGUAGCGAAAUGCGAUAAGUAAUGCGAAUUGCAGAUUUCAGUGAGUCAUCGAAUCUUUGAACGCACAUUGCGCCCGCCAGUAUUCUGGCGGGCAUGCCUGUUCGAGCGUCAUUUCAACCAUCCAGCCCCCGGGCUUGCGUUGGGGCCCUGCGGCUGCCGCAGGCCCCGAAAAGCAGUGGCGGGCUCGCUGUCACACCGAGCGCAGUAGCGAUUCUCGCUCCGGGCGUCGGCGGCGGGCACCGGCCGUGAAACCCCCCCACGUCCACAAGGUUGACCUCGGAUCAGGUAGGCAUACCCGCUGAACUUAAGCAUAUCAAUAAGCGGAGGA
RNAcentral lists this unclassified non-coding RNA (337 nucleotides) under soil metagenome. RNAcentral describes it as "partial contains 5.8S ribosomal RNA, internal transcribed spacer 2, and large subunit ribosomal RNA". The stretch from base 1 to 120 matches the Rfam family "5.8S ribosomal RNA", at positions 35 to 154 of the family's 154-position model. The record is from RNAcentral.